This 2378-nucleotide ribosomal RNA is filed under the name Triticum aestivum (bread wheat). RNAcentral describes it as "partial small subunit ribosomal RNA". The record is from RNAcentral. Lineage: Eukaryota; Viridiplantae; Streptophyta; Magnoliopsida; Poales; Poaceae.
CAGCAGAAGCGCCACGCCCACCCCUACGUCCCCUCCACAUCCUACGCCUGCUUUUCCCUUCCUCCUCCGGCCGCUCCUUCCGUUCGUUGUCGCCCCUUCCUCUUCCACUCGCUAGGAUCGUACCCCUUCCCCGGCCCACUCCGGAGCGCGUGGACGGCCGCCGGCCGUCCAGCUGAACAACGCGGUGGCGCAGCAGUGGAGGAGACGUGGUACUCUCCGCGGUGGAGACGGAGGUGUGGGGGGGUGACCCGUUCCUCGAGCUCCACUUGUCCGCCACACCCUUCCGCUCUCCUUGGUCCUCGAGUAGGGAGGAGGGUACCGACGGGGCACCUAGACCUCCACGGACAACGUCCGCCGAGCUCGCUACGUUCGGCCGCCGCUUGAUCCAGGUACCUGUAACAGUAUUACCAGUGGAAUAGCGUCACAUAAUAAAAACCUAGAGUAUAAGGAGUUCCGCGAGGUAGGAGACUAAGCUACAGACUGCUAGACUCUUUAUUCUCCUCCUUAUUAGGUCGUCUUCUUAAACCACUUCUUCUUGUUCUUUUCUUAUGGAAAUAGGACUAUCCGUACCUUUGUGGCCAAGCGUAACUCACGUAGUAGCGAUUAGUCGAUGAUACAUACCAGUCGCCUGUACGAACGAAUAAGGACAUUGUAUAGUAAUGAGAUAGACGAAUCGGAAAGAUUGAAAAUUCUAAACUAGUUAAGAAAUCUUCAAGCAUGUCUAGAUCUUCAUAAACCAAAACAACCAGUUUAGGUAAUGGACAUACAGGAAUAAAUAAAAUAACAAGCUUGUUCUAUAGUCUAGUGGAUGUAAGUAAUAAGAACUAAUGUCAGAGUAUGAUUUCAUCAGAUUUUACCAGACUUAUCAACAUCAUUAAGUAUUUAUAAAAGUCACAUCAAGAAUAAACCAAAGAUCCGUAUCUUAAAUGAAGUUUUAAAACUAGAAAUAAACCAAUCAUUCCGAGAUCUUAUUUUGUCUGGUUACUAUAUAUAUGUUUGUCUGUGUUAUCCUCAAUUGACCAUGGAUCGAAAACUUUGGAGACUAUAUAUGUUUUAUAAUAAACUCAUCUUGUCCUCUCUACGUUAGAAUACCUAUAAAGGCGUAAACAUUCUUUGAAAGGUCGAACAAUGAUGGCUCUUGAGGUCCAAGACACUUAAAAAUUCAGGAUCCGCUCGUGAGGUCCAAGACACUUAAAAAGGAAGUGUAAUGACGUCAUAAAGGUAUGAAGUUCCUUUAUAUUUACUAUACCAAAGAGAGAGGGUCUAAAAAUGAUGGCUCUUACCUUAAGUUCUUCUAUAUGAAAACCGCAACAGAAUAAUGGAGAGCAUAGACUAUCUAUUGUGUUUCAAUAGUCAAAUCAACCUUUUUCUUUUUCAGGUCUAGUUAACACUCCUAUACUAGUAACCGUAUGAAUGGGGGACUACUACGGAGUAAAGAAGUCUUAAACUCCGACAAGAACUAUACGGUCUUCAUACUCACCCAACUGAAAAGAACUGCACAUAAAAUAUGUUGCUCGUUGAUGGAACGCGGCAGAAGGUCGGUGGUUGUUGGGGUACUGGGACGUAGUCCUGUUUAAACUAAAACCCUUCUGUUUCCAGACUGUUCCUACUCUUACCCUAUGGUCUAAUGUUGCUACCUCCGAGCCUGUACCUAGACGAGUACGAGAGUCGCCCUUAUGACUUACAAGAGCUUCGAAACGGUAUGUGUGCACGUUGAAAACCGUGAACACACCCGAGGUCAAACACAGUUACGUUAAACGUAGACAGUCGCCUAAUACCGCUCGAACCAAUAACCGGAUGUCCCACGAGGUGGCUACCACUUUUAUGGAGUGUCCUACUACAACCUAUAAUAAGAUGUUUGAAACCCGGAUGGCCACCGACUCAUAGCUUCGUUCUACACUGUCACCGUACUACACCUACUGAUAUUAAAGGUAUGUGGUUGUAAUAGAAAACCUCUAUUUUAUCGGCAUACCGAUAAUGUACUCUGGUACAGUCUUCUGGGACGACGAUACCUUCGUUUUACUAAGUACUUUAGACACCACUUUUGUCUCUAUUCUAUGAUGUUAAUGUCGUCGUAACUCUUUGGCUCCUGUGCUUUACUCAGACUUUUUACGAUACCCGAUUAAACAAGAUCGAUCCGCUACACACCAUCUUCUACAUGAGUGUCCUUCUGAUAGCACGACACAUAUUUGGUGCAAGAUGCUAAGUGAAGACAAUACGUAUAAAUGAAAGGUCAAAAUCCUGACUUUAGGUAGGUAACAUUACUUAAACCAACAUACCCGUAAUGGAUAAACUGAAUCCGAACGAAGUAGUGUAUAUCUGACGAAAAGAAAAGGGGUGAUGAACAUACUGGAUUUUGAUAGUACAUAUACUCCGUU